This 1013-nucleotide unclassified non-coding RNA is filed under the name Hevea brasiliensis (rubber tree). The record is from RNAcentral. Lineage: Eukaryota; Viridiplantae; Streptophyta; Magnoliopsida; Malpighiales; Euphorbiaceae.
GGGAAAGCCCGUUCCAGUAACAACAAAUUGGAGAGUUCAAAAAAUGGAAGCUGAAGCAGCAUUAGAGUUAGUGAAGCAUGGCGCUACCUUGCUACUUCUUGAUGUUCCUCAGAAUACCCUCAUCGGUAUUGAUACCCAGAUGUUUUUCUCCGGGCCUAAUUUCAAAGGUGUGAAGAUGAUUCCUCCUGGCGUUCAUUUCAUCUAUUACAGUUCAUCCAACAGAGAAGGGAAUGAGUUCUCACCAAUAGUUGGUUUUUUCGUUGAGGCUAGCCCUUCAGAGGUCAUUGUUAAGAAAUGGGAUUCAAAGGAUGAGCGAUUUGUCAAAUUAUCCGAAGAAGAGGGAGAGAGAUAUGCUCAAGCGGUGAAAAAAUUGGAGUUUGACAGACAACUUGGCCCUUAUGCAUUGGAUCAGUACGGAGAUUGGAAGCGCUUAUCUAACUUUAUUACGAAGAGUACCAUUGGAAGAAUUGAACCUGUUGGAGGAGAAAUUACAAUUAUUUCUGAAUCUGAAAUGGUUGGGAAUGUUCAUAAGACGGCCAUGGAGAAAGUCUUGGCUGAGCAGUUAAAGAGUAGCAAGUUCUCGAAGCCUGAUAAGAAGUCUCCAAGUAACAGUUGUUAUUACACCUCAAUUCCUCGUGUUAUAAAGCUAAAGGGAGUUUCAGGACAAGAUCUUACUAACAUGAAUCUGGACAAGACACACAUAUUGGAGACAAUUCUGACGAAGCAAUAUGGUGGUUCAGAAGAUUCACUUCUGGGAGAACUACAAUUUGCCUUUGUAGCGUUUCUGAUGGGACAGUCACUUGAAGCAUUUCUGCAAUGGAAGCUUUUAGUCAGCCUAUUACUUGGCUGUACAGAAGCUCCUCUCCACACAAGGACUCAGCUAUUCACCAAGUUCAUCAAAGCAAUAUAUUAUCAGUUGAAAAUUGGAUUUCAAAAGGAUAGCAAGGAUACUAGCAGGGCAGAGAAAGGUGCAACGGCCUCGUUGGACGAAUCUUUGUUGUCUGCUGAUAACU